CCCAAAUCUUCUCACGUACAAAUAUUUGGACACAUCAUGGAGUUUGGGUUGAAGCACAACUAUGUCCAUGAGGUUAGCUUAUACUGUAUGAAUUAUUACACAUCCUGUCAGUUUGCAACAUCAUCCCAGGUCAACCUUCUCUCAUUGGGGGUGCCAAGGUUGUCUCUGUCCGUUCAUGUCAUCAUGCAGCUAAAGCUUUGGAUUUGGUAGCCGCUUCUAGAGGCAAAACUACAAAGAUUGGUGUGGCCUGGAGGUCGCAAUGAGUUGCACGGAAGAGAAGAUGUCCUUGAGAAAUGUGGCGACAAGGGCGCCCGUGUUGGGUUGUAGGUAUCGCUGGUCAUAUAGUUUUUGCUGUUACUUCGGAGCUGGUUCGUAUUGUAUUCUUGAUGGUUUUCCUUGCUAAUCAUUUGU
Long non-coding RNA from Hordeum vulgare subsp. vulgare (domesticated barley), 411 nucleotides. RefSeq lists it as uncharacterized. The transcript is spliced from 3 exons. The record is from RefSeq and is a predicted model, not a curated record. Lineage: Eukaryota; Viridiplantae; Streptophyta; Magnoliopsida; Poales; Poaceae.